UCUGGAACAUAGGUGCCAUAAGAAAUAUCAGU
Molecule: non-coding RNA, 32 nt
Filed under: Mus musculus (house mouse)
Lineage: Eukaryota; Metazoa; Chordata; Mammalia; Rodentia; Muridae
Source: RNAcentral